UGACUGCCCAAACGAUUGCAAGCAAUU
RNAcentral lists this small RNA (27 nucleotides) under Bombyx mori (domestic silkworm). Its description in RNAcentral is "ovarian small RNA-31963". The record is from RNAcentral. Lineage: Eukaryota; Metazoa; Arthropoda; Insecta; Lepidoptera; Bombycidae.